GAGAGCUCCAAGUGGGCCA
This 19-nucleotide small nuclear RNA is filed under the name Arabidopsis thaliana (thale cress). Its description in RNAcentral is "snRNA_05912". The record is from RNAcentral. Lineage: Eukaryota; Viridiplantae; Streptophyta; Magnoliopsida; Brassicales; Brassicaceae.